CCUGGCCUUGACAUACUAAGAACUUUCCAGAGAUGGAUUGGUGCCUUCGGGAACUUAGAUACAGGUGCUGCAUGGCUGUCGUCAGCUCGUGUCGUGAGAUGUUGGGUUAAGUCCGCAACGAGCGCAACCCUUUUCCUUAUUUGCCAGCGGGUUAUGCCGGGAACUUUAAGGAUACUGCCAGUGACAAACUGGAGGAAGGCGGGGACGACGUCAAGUCAUCAUGGCCCUUACGGCCAGGGCUACACACGUGCUACAAUGGUCGGUACAAAGGGUUGCUACCUCGCGAGAGGAUGCUAAUCUCAAAAAGCCGAUCGUAGUCCGGAUCGCAGUCUGCAACUCGACUGCGUGAAGUCGGAAUCGCUAGUAAUCGCGGAUCAGAAUGCCGCGGUGAAUACGUUCCCGGGCCUUGUACACACCGCCCGUCACACCAUGGGAGUUUGUUGCACCAGAAGUAGGUAGUCUAACCGCAAGGAGGACGCUUACCACGGUGUGGCCGAUGACUGGGGUGAAGUCGUAACAAGGUAGGCGUAGAUGA
RNAcentral lists this ribosomal RNA (535 nucleotides) under uncultured bacterium. RNAcentral describes it as "bacterial SSU rRNA". It matches the Rfam family "Bacterial small subunit ribosomal RNA", at positions 974 to 1509 of the family's 1533-position model. The record is from RNAcentral.